AUGAAGACUCUAGAGCGGCUCUUCCUCAACCUCCUCCGACCACAGGUACAACGUGCCCAGGACCCACUACAGUUCGCAUACAAGGCGGAUGUCGGAGUGGAGGAUACAAUCCUGUACAUCCUACACAGAGCCCACUCACACCUGGACAAGGGAAAAGGCACGGUCAGGAUCCUGUUUCUUGACUUUUCCAGUGCCUUUAAUACCAUCCGGCCCUGUCUGCUCCAGGAGAAACUAAACAGGAUGCAGGUGGACCCCUGCCUGGUCGCUUGGAUCUCAAACUACCUCACUGACAGACCACAGUACGUCAGGCUGAAGGACAUCAUGUCUGACACUGUGGUCAGCAGCACAGGAGCACCACAGGGAACUGUGCUGUCCCCUCUUCCCUGCACCCUGUAUACCUCUGACUUCUGCUACAACUCUGAAUUAUGCCAUAUUCAGAAGUUUGCAGAUGACACAGCCAUCAUGGGGUGUAUCUGGGAUGAUCAGGAAGAGGAGUACAGAAGUCUGGUGAGGAACUUCGUCACAUGGAGUCACACAAACCACCUGCAACUCAACACCACAAAGACCAAGGAACUGGUUGUGGACUUCGGGAGGUCCAGAGAAGGUCCACUGCCGGUUCAGAUAGAGGGGGAGGAGGUGGAGGUGGUCAACAAGUACAAGUACCUCGGGCUGUGGGUGGACAACAAACUGGACUGGUCAUGCAACACAGAGCACCUGUGUAAAAAAGCCCAAAGCCGACUGUACUUCCUCAGGAGGCUGAGGUCCUUUAACAUCUGCAGGAAGCUCCUGAGGAUGUUUUACCAGUCAGUGGUUGCUGGAGUACUUUUCUAUGCUGUGGUGUGCUGGGGGAGCAGCACAACAAAGAAGGACUCAUCCAGGUUGGAAAAACUGAUCAGGAAGGCUGGCUCUGUGGUCGGCAUGAAGCUGGACACUCUGGUGUCAGUGGCAGAGAAAAGGACACUAAAGAAAUUGCUGGACAUUAUGGACAAUGCUGGGCAUCCUCUGCACACGGCCAUAAGCAACCAGAGGAGUCUGUUCAGUGACAGGUUGCUUCUCCCAAAGACAAGAACCAACAGACUUAAAAACUCCUUUGUCCCACACGCCAUCAAACUGUUUAACUCCUCUCUGGAGGGGAGAGGGAGGGGAAACAGGAGGACAAAGGAGGGGGGGACAACUAAGCUGUAG
This 1185-nucleotide long non-coding RNA is filed under the name Oreochromis niloticus (Nile tilapia). Its description in RNAcentral is "lncRNA (ENSONIG00000042606.1)". Lineage: Eukaryota; Metazoa; Chordata; Actinopteri; Cichliformes; Cichlidae. The record is from RNAcentral.